Daphnia pulicaria is the source of this 358-nucleotide long non-coding RNA. RefSeq lists it as uncharacterized. The record is from RefSeq and is a predicted model, not a curated record. The transcript is spliced from 3 exons. NCBI's taxonomy places the organism in Eukaryota, Metazoa, Arthropoda, Branchiopoda, Diplostraca, Daphniidae.
CUGUAGUCAUUGCUGGGUAUUUUCUUACGGGAAAUUUCUGAUCAUAGACAUGGAUUCCUUGGUUAGUUUGAUGUUUGAGCUGCUAAUGGUGUUGAUGCAGUGUUCAUGGUGUGAGAAAUGGUUUUGCAGUCAAUUUCCAGUCAGGAUGUCUUGAAAUGGAGCUUGUGCAGACAUUCAGUUCAACAUCAUACUUCAAUGUGUUAUUUGCCUGUGUUGGUGACGUUGUUGUUGCAGUGUUGGGCUGUUGUGCAAAAUAGUCGAUGCUGCCUGGUGGCUGUCGGGCAUGUUUUAUCGGCUGCAUUUUGUCGAUGCGUCGUCUCGUCUCUUGCCACCUGUACACACGCUAAGUUUAAUUGUU